This is a long non-coding RNA of Amphiprion ocellaris (clown anemonefish), 302 nucleotides long. Lineage: Eukaryota; Metazoa; Chordata; Actinopteri; Pomacentridae. The record is from Ensembl.
AAUAGGGCUCUUCCUGUUCGCUCUCUCGCGUUAUGUAAUUGCAACCCUCAAAGAAAAUAUCGGAAGAAAGGCCAGACAGAGGUUUCCCAGAGACUAUGGGUUGAGGAGGAAUUGGAAGUUUGUCGGCUUAGACCUGGUAUCAUUCCAUCAGUGUUAAACUUCCCGGCUCAUCUUGGAAGAGUACGUGCCAGAAAGACCACGACCAAGCAGCCUUGAGAUCUUAGGCAGCGUCUCCCUGAGACCAAAGAACUACAGACUCUUCACAACCUGCUCAAACUCUUGGUACAGGACCUCACCACACG